UACGUAGGGUGCGAGCGUUGUCCGGAAUUAUUGGGCGUAAAGAGCUCGUAGGCGGUUUGUUGCGUCGGCCGUGAAAACCUGCAGCUUAACUGUGGGCCUGCGGCCGAUACGGGCAGACUUGAGUUCGGUAGGGGAGACUGGAAUUCCUGGUGUAGCGGUGAAAUGCGUAGAUAUCGGGAGGAACACCAGUGGCGAAGGCGACUACCUGGCCUGUUCUUGACGCUGAGGCGCGAAAGCUAGGGGAGCAAACGGG
RNAcentral lists this ribosomal RNA (253 nucleotides) under uncultured bacterium. RNAcentral describes it as "partial 16S ribosomal RNA". It matches the Rfam family "Bacterial small subunit ribosomal RNA", at positions 524 to 776 of the family's 1533-position model. The record is from RNAcentral.